GAUGAAGAACGUAGCAAAAUGCGAUACUUGGUGUGAAUUGCAGAAUCCCGUGAACCAUCGAGUUUUUGAACGCAAGUUGCGCCCGAAGCCUUUUGGCCGAGGGCACGUCUGCCUGGGCGUCACGCAUCGCGUCGCCCCCCACAAUUCUCCGUAAAGGGAACAUGUGUUUUGGGGGCGGAUAUUGGUCUCCCGUGCUCAUGGCGUGGUUGGCCGAAAUAGGAGUCCUUUCGAUGGACGCACGAACUAGUGGUGGUCGUAAAAACCCUCGUCUUUUGUUUCGUGCUGUUGCUCGCAAGGUAAACUCUUUAAAAACACCAAUGUGUCGUCUCUUGACGACGCUUCGACCGCGACCCCAGGUCAGGCGGGACUACCCGCUGAGUUUAAGCAUAUCAAUAAGCGGAGGA
RNAcentral lists this unclassified non-coding RNA (404 nucleotides) under soil metagenome. RNAcentral describes it as "partial contains 5.8S ribosomal RNA, internal transcribed spacer 2, and large subunit ribosomal RNA". The stretch from base 1 to 122 matches the Rfam family "5.8S ribosomal RNA", at positions 35 to 154 of the family's 154-position model. The record is from RNAcentral.